GGUUGUGGCUCAGUGGUAGACUACUUGCCUAGCACAUGUGAGGCACUGGGUUCGAUCCUCAGCACCA
This 67-nucleotide transfer RNA is filed under the name Marmota monax (woodchuck). Its description in RNAcentral is "tRNA.Ala". The record is from RNAcentral. Lineage: Eukaryota; Metazoa; Chordata; Mammalia; Rodentia; Sciuridae.